This is an RNA transcript of Capra hircus (goat), 1719 nucleotides long. It is a transcript of the gene named HSPA (Hsp70) binding protein 1, with no coding region annotated. The record is from RefSeq and is a predicted model, not a curated record. NCBI's taxonomy places the organism in Eukaryota, Metazoa, Chordata, Mammalia, Artiodactyla, Bovidae. The transcript is spliced from 8 exons.
CCCGCCAGGUGGGAAGAACUUAAGAGCCCGGGGAAGCCGCCUCUCGGCCCCAAUUGGUGCGGCUGCGCCGGGAACUUCCGGGCCAAACCGUGCGUGUUUCCGGUCAAUAUGGCGGCGCCCAGCAGAGUCAGGUGCGGGCGAGUCUAUCUUCGGUAGCGGCGGCGACACGAGGCUCGGACCCCCAGGAGUCGACCCUUCAGGACGCCAGAGCUUCAGCGGUGACCACCCCCCACCCCAGCAAGUUCUUGCUUUCUUCGCAAACUGCCCAUGGCGAACCAGGGCUCCGGGGGCAGUCGCCUUCCCCUGGCGCUGCCCUCAGCCUCCCAGGAUUGCUCGUCAGGGGGCAGCGGCUCCUCCGAGGGCGGCUCGGGCCAUCCCCCGCCCCCGCGAAACCUCCAAGGCCUGCUGCAGAUGGCCAUCACGGCGGGCUCUGAAGAGCCAGACCCACCUCCAGAACCCAUGAGUGAGGAGAGGCGCCAGUGGCUGCAGGAGGCCAUGUCGGCCGCCUUCCGGGGCCCGCGGGAGGAGGUGGAGCAGAUGAAGAACUGCCUCCAGGUGCUGUCCCAGCCCACGCCCUCCUCGGCUGGCGAGGCUGAACUGGCCGCUGACCAGCAGGAGCGCGAGGGAGCCCUGGAGCUGCUGGCGGACCUGUGUGAGAACAUGGACAACGCAGCAGACUUCUGCCAGCUGUCGGGCAUGCACCUGCUGGUGGGCCGCUACCUGGAGGCGGGGCCGGCGGGGCUGCGGUGGCGAGCAGCACAGCUCAUCGGCACGUGCAGCCAGAAUGUGGCAGCCAUCCAGGAGCAGGUGCUGGGCCUCGGAGCCCUGCGCAAGCUGCUGCGCCUGCUGGACCGGGACCCCUGUGACACGGUGCGCGUCAAGGCCCUCUUCGCCAUCUCCUGCCUGGUCCGGGAGCAGGAGGCCGGGCUGCUGCAGUUCCUCCGCCUGGACGGCUUCUCCGUGUUGAUGCGGGCCAUGCAGCAGCAGGUGCAGAAGCUCAAGGUCAAGUCGGCGUUCCUGCUGCAGAACCUGCUGGGACCCUGUGCGCCAUGGGCAUGGUCCAGCAGCUUGUGGCCCUUGUGCGGACAGAACACAGCCCCUUCCACGAGCACGUGCUUGGAGCCCUGUGCAGCUUGGUGACAGACUUCCCCCAGGGCGUGCGGGAGUGCCGAGAGCCCGAGCUGGGCCUGGAGGAGCUUCUGCGGCACCGGUGCCAGCUGCUGCAGCAGCAUGAGGAGUACCAGGAGGAGCUGGAGUUCUGUGAAAAGUUGCUACAGACCUGUUUCUCUACCCCAACUGAUGACAGCAUGGAUCGGUGAAACCCAGUGGCUUCUCUCCCCUUCUUCAUGGGAACCCCAGGCCUCCUGCCUUCCCCUCACCCAUGAAGCCCUCUCCCAAAGGAGAGAAGGGCCUUGUUGGUGCCGCGCCGGGGCGUGUCAGCCUGUCUCUGCUCAGUCCCCAGGAUGGGUACUGAAAAAGGCGCUGCCUCCCUGGAUCCCACCUCUCACGCACUCUCACUCCACUCCCCCUUCUUGUGUCCACACUGCUCUUCCAGUAAAGGUGUUCCUCCUCCUCCGCCUCCUUCACUGCCACCUUCGACACCUCGCCUGGAGAGUGCCUUGGUUGGGGAGGAGGGGCACAAUCGGGGGAUCUAGGGAGCCAAGAAGGGAACAGCAGUGGGCGGAACCUUGGAAUAAUAAAAAAGUGUUGCUCUCUAAA